Molecule: ribosomal RNA, 210 nt
Filed under: Vibrio parahaemolyticus
Lineage: Bacteria; Pseudomonadati; Pseudomonadota; Gammaproteobacteria; Vibrionales; Vibrionaceae
Description: partial 16S ribosomal RNA
Rfam family: Bacterial small subunit ribosomal RNA
Source: RNAcentral
AGUUGGAAUCGCUAGUAAUCGUGGAUCAGAAUGCCACGGUGAAUACGUUCCCGGGCCUUGUACACACCGCCCGUCACACCAUGGGAGUGGGCUGCAAAAGAAGUAGGUAGUUUAACCUUCGGGGGGACGCUUACCACUUUGUGGUUCAUGACUGGGGUGAAGUCGUAACAAGGUAGCGCUAGGGGAACCUGGCGCUGGAUCACCUCCUUA